UACGUAGGGCGCGAGCGUUGUCCGGAUUUAUUGGGCGUAAAGAGCUCGUAGGCGGCUCAUCGCGUCUGCCGUGAAAACCUGUGGCUCAACUACAGGCUUGCGGUUGAUACGGGUGGGCUGGAGUUCGGUAGGGGAGACUGGAAUUCCUGGUGUAGCGGUGAAAUGCGCAGAUAUCAGGAGGAACACCAAUGGCGAAGGCAGCACUCUGGGACGUGACUGACGCUGAGACGCGAAAGCGUGGGGAGCAAACAGG
This 253-nucleotide ribosomal RNA is filed under the name uncultured bacterium. RNAcentral's name for it is "partial 16S ribosomal RNA". It matches the Rfam family "Bacterial small subunit ribosomal RNA", at positions 524 to 776 of the family's 1533-position model. The record is from RNAcentral.